CUGCUCAGUAACACGUCAAUAAUCUGCCCUUAAGUCUGGGAUAAUCUUGGGAAACUGAGUCUAAACCCGGAUAGAUAAAACUUAUUGGAAUAUUGUUUUAUCCAAAGGUAACGCUUAAGGAUGAGUUGGCGGCUGAUUAGGCUGUUGGCGGUGUAAAGGACCACCAAACCUUUGAUCAGUAGGGGCCGUGGGAGCGGUUGCCCCGAGAAGGGUACUGAGAUACUGACCCUAGCCCUACGGGGUGCAGCAGGCGCGAAAAUUUUACACUGUACGUAAGUGCGAUAAAGGAACUCCGAGUGCUUAUGCUUUGCAUAGGCUUUUGUCAAGAGCAAAGAUCUUGGCGAAUAAGUGGUGGGUAAGACAGGUGCCAGCCGCCGCGGUAACACCAGCGCCACAAGUGGGGAUCGAAUUUAUUGGGCCUAAAGCGUUCGUAGCUGGUUUAGUAAGUUUUGGGUGAAAUCGUUGCGCUUAACAAAACGACGUGCUUAAAAGACUGCUAGACUUGGGACCGGGAGGAGUCAGGGGUAUUCCUGAGGGAGCGGUAAAAUGCUAUAAUCUCAGGAGGACCACCUGUGGCGAAGGCGCCUGACUAGAACGGGUCCGACAGUGAGGAACGAAAGCUAGGGGAGCAAAGCGGAUUAGAUACCCGCGUCGUCCUAGCUGUAAACACUGCGAGCUAGAUGUUGCUUAUCCUACGUGGAUAUGCAGUAUCGAAAGGAAGCUGUUAAGCUCGCCGCCUGGGAAGUACGGU
RNAcentral lists this ribosomal RNA (751 nucleotides) under uncultured archaeon. RNAcentral describes it as "bacterial SSU rRNA". It matches the Rfam family "Archaeal small subunit ribosomal RNA", at positions 86 to 841 of the family's 1478-position model. The record is from RNAcentral.